CCUGGUGGCUCAGAAGGUAAAGCAUCUGCCUGCAAAGUGGGAGACCCGGGUUCAAUUCCUGGGUCAGGA
This 69-nucleotide transfer RNA is filed under the name Bos taurus (domestic cattle). It matches the Rfam family "tRNA". From Rfam's summary of the family: Transfer RNA (tRNA) molecules are approximately 80 nucleotides in length. Their secondary structure includes four short double-helical elements and three loops (D, anti-codon, and T loops). RNAcentral also lists the same sequence under 2 other names. Lineage: Eukaryota; Metazoa; Chordata; Mammalia; Artiodactyla; Bovidae. The record is from Rfam by way of RNAcentral.